RNAcentral lists this ribosomal RNA (687 nucleotides) under uncultured Bacteroidales bacterium. RNAcentral describes it as "bacterial SSU rRNA". It matches the Rfam family "Bacterial small subunit ribosomal RNA", at positions 69 to 749 of the family's 1533-position model. The record is from RNAcentral. Lineage: Bacteria; Pseudomonadati; Bacteroidota; Bacteroidia; Bacteroidales.
UCAGGAAGAAAGCUUGCUUUCUUUGCUGGCGACCGGCGCACGGGUGAGUAACACGUAUCCAACCUGCCCUUUACUCGGGGAUAGCCUUUCGAAAGAAAGAUUAAUACCCGAUAGUAUAAUGAUUCCGCAUGGUUUCAUUAUUAAAGGAUUCCGGUAAAGGAUGGGGAUGCGUUCCAUUAGGUUGUUGGUGAGGUAACGGCUCACCAAGCCUUCGAUGGAUAGGGGUUCUGAGAGGAAGGUCCCCCACAUUGGAACUGAGACACGGUCCAAACUCCUACGGGAGGCAGCAGUGAGGAAUAUUGGUCAAUGGGCGUUAGCCUUGAACCAGCCAAGUAGCGUGAAGGAUGAAGGCUCUAUGGGUCGUAAACUUCUUUUAUAUAAGAAUAAAGUGCAGUAUGUAUACUGUUUUGUAUGUAUUAUAUGAAUAAGGAUCGGCUAACUCCGUGCCAGCAGCCGCGGUAAUACGGAGGAUCCGAGCGUUAUCCGGAUUUAUUGGGUUUAAAGGGAGCGUAGGUGGACUGGUAAGUCAGUUGUGAAAGUUUGCGGCUCAACCGUAAAAUUGCAGUUGAUACUGUCAGUCUUGAGUACAGUAGAGGUGGGCGGAAUUCGUGGUGUAGCGGUGAAAUGCUUAGAUAUCACGAAGACUCCGAUUGCGAAGGCAGCUCACUGGACUGCAACUGACACUGA